RNAcentral lists this ribosomal RNA (233 nucleotides) under uncultured bacterium. RNAcentral describes it as "partial 16S ribosomal RNA". It matches the Rfam family "Bacterial small subunit ribosomal RNA", at positions 794 to 1026 of the family's 1533-position model. The record is from RNAcentral.
UCCACGCAGUAAACGAUGAAUGUUAGUCGUCGGGGGCCUAGUGUCUUCGGUGAUGCAGCUAACGCAUUAAACAUUCCGCCUGGGGAGUACGGUCGCAAGAUUAAAACUCAAAGGAAUAGACGGGGACCCGCACAAGUGGUGGAGCAUGUGGUUUAAUUCGAAGAUACGCGAAGAACCUUACCUAGCCUUGACAUUGAUAGAAUCUUCCAGAGAUGGAGGAGUGCCUUUCGGGG